This 142-nucleotide ribosomal RNA is filed under the name Lepisosteus oculatus (spotted gar). Lineage: Eukaryota; Metazoa; Chordata; Actinopteri; Semionotiformes; Lepisosteidae. The record is from RNAcentral.
GUCAGCAGCUAUAUCACCCUGCCUCUCACAGCUGGUAGCCCACUGAAGCUGAAGCUGAACCUGAAGCUGAAGCUCAGCAGGCACGAGCCUGGCCAGUACCUGGAUGGGAGACCUCCUGGGAAACCUGAGGUUGCUGCUGGAA